Lolium perenne is the source of this 3953-nucleotide long non-coding RNA. RefSeq lists it as uncharacterized. The record is from RefSeq and is a predicted model, not a curated record. NCBI's taxonomy places the organism in Eukaryota, Viridiplantae, Streptophyta, Magnoliopsida, Poales, Poaceae.
GCACCGCUUUGACUAUUCUUUCGUUUUAUCUAGCUCCGUGGCCCCUUUCUAGAAAAAUCCCGUGGUAAUACCACUCCAAUCUUUACUAAUUUCCUCACCGUUCUUUCUGUGCAUUAUCUUCCCCACCACAGCGAGCUCAUCCAUGGCAGAUCCCCUAACACGGCUACACCUUCACCGGCUUCCCCUCGCCGGAGCUCCGCCUUGCCCCCCCCCCCCCGCGCUGAGGUCCUCUCUACCCGACGACCCCCUGCGUAGAACGAGCUGCGCUGACCUCGACCCCCGUGCGAGGAUGGAAGAUACAGCCGUUGCGACCUGGUGUCGAAAGGCUCUUUAGGCGGCCGGCGAUCUCUGGCACGGGCGGUGGAGCCAGCCACUUGGGUCGGAGGUGGGCGACGAGGCUGGCUACGACUGUGGCUUCCUCGAGCAGUUCCCACAGCUAGGUUGGCCAUGACAAAUACCGGCGAUCCGACUGUGCCGGCAGACAUCCCACUCCCGUAGCGGAGCCGGCAGCAUCGUGGAUCUCUACGUAAAUUCGUCGGGCCAUGAGGAUACUGACGCGGACUACAGUCUAAGACAGGCACGCCUUGCCCUUCGGUCAAGACAUUGUUGAGGCAGGUGCGCUCAGCCUUGAUCUUCAGUUCUUCACACGCAGCGUCACAGAAGUUCAAUUUGAUGGCUCCACCUAGGAUUCGUGUCUCCUCCAACCUCAGCCGCGUUGCUGCAAUAUUUUGCAGGUUGCUGUCUUCUUUACGGUUGAUGUGCUGCUAGAUCAUUUGGUCGACAUGUGGCGCUUGCGUUCGUGCAUUGACGGACAAGGAGCACAAAGCGACUCAAAAGGUGGAAUAUCAAAUUGAACAUCUCAAGGCAGUAAGCUUGACAGAGAAUAUAAAGAGGUUUCAAGAAGUGAUGCUCCAUCUGUUAUACUUUUGUCUUCUAAUUAAUCAGUAUUGGGGAUACCAUGGUGCUCCAAAGGAGACUCCCAACUUCCCCUAAAAGAUCAUUGGCUUAUAUUAUUGAUGGUAAUACUUAUUCACUAAUGUUCGGAAAGCAAAAUUAUUAAGCAGUUAAAUUGUAUCCAAAUAGUGUCUUGUAAUUCUUGAAACGCUGACUGGUCUUUUCUCUCAUCCAACAAAAUAAUUCCUCUUGGAUUAUUGUUAAUGUUCUCACGUAUUUCACAUUGGUCCAGAGUUUUCUUUGGUUGCAUCAGAAAAGAAGGCAGAAAAUGAAUAUUUUCUCCAUUCUUAAUGUUCAGUAUAUAAUAAUAUUGACAUUCUUGGAACUUCUCAUGUCGUUCAACCGUUCUUAUUUGACAUUGGACUGACAUUUUUAUCAUGAGACAAGUUAAAAUUUGCGCUGGGCUAGAAAGAAAGCAGUAUGUGCUCUAUAUACAGACCGGACUGAAAUUCAGAUGGAAGAUACACAUUUGCAUGUAUAGUUUCUCUUGCGUUUGAAUAAGUACAUGUACUAUUUAAUCUCGCUCCCACUAUUUUGAGGUUGGUAUAUCACAAAUAGGUAGAAUUUGGAGGUAACCUAGAACAAACAUCGGAAUUAGAAGUCAGGAUGUUUACUUUUUGUGCCCAGUAUUGAUAAAUGACUAAUUGCUUUUGGCGAUGUUGAUGAUCUAAACGAGCGCGGGAGAUGUGAAAAGUUGUUUUAUAGCUCUGUGAUUAGACGCUUUCUGAUUAUACCUCUAUAUUCUCAGUAAUUUACUUCAAGCAUGUAGUUAGGACGAACUUGAGUUUGUAGUCUGACAAGUAAUUAAUGAAAUUGUGGCUUAAUAAUAUUUUGCUCAAACAUUUAGGAGCAUAGAGGCACUGUGUCAAAAUAAGUGUUCUAAUUGAUAUAUAUACUCUCAGCAAUUUACUACAACCAUGCAGUUAGGAUGCAUUUAAUGUUGUAGCCUAACAAUUAAUAAAUGAAACUGUGGCUUAAGAACAUCUUGCUCAAAUAUUUAGGGGCGUAGAUGCACCCUGUCAAGAUAAGCGUUCAUAAUGAUAUCUGAAACCUGUCUUUUGUUGUUUAUAGUGUCAUUUGAAAGGUCAGCAAUUACACUAAUGCAGACAUGGAUACCAGAUCCUGCCGAGGAUCUUGACACCUGGUUCGAAACAGCUAUCGCUAAUGCAGAUUCCUCAGUUCAGUAGGGAGCCAAAUUGUUCAUCCUGCUUACCAUAUGGAGAUUAUGGAAUGUGCGCAAUGACGCUAUCUUCAAAAACAUAGGAAAGUCUGUGCGAGAGAAAAAGAACAGGCAGCCAGGCAGGCGCUUAACUUAUAAAUUUUAAGCAAUUCUUUUUGUGAUUAUUUGGGACAUACUGCUAAUCAAGGAACUGAACAUCUAUUAAAUCAAGGAACUAAACAACUAUUAAAUGUUGGACAUUUCCAUUAACCAUGCCCAGUAAUUGUUUUACCUCUUCAACUGUACUGUUGGUUAAGAUGCAGGAUAAAAGCAUCCAAGAUGAGGAGUUCAUAUUCACCAACAAGGAAUGGACAAAUCUACAGCAGCAAUGGCGUCAUCUCUCUUCUUUUGUGAAAGGUCAAAAUUUUCUGUCCAGCAAGAUCCUCAACUGUGAUAGUGAGUGAUUUUUUUUAUAUCUUCCCCUUGUAGAAGAAGCCUUUGGUCAAAACCAGGAUUUUAUUCUGCUCUAGGAAAUCCUCUCUCUUAAUAAUGAGAGUGACGCUUGGUCUUAUCAAUGGAAAACUCUAGGUUUUAGUACUUGUAAGGUGUAUAAAGAUCUAACUGCACUCAGUUAUCCAUACAAAUUAUCUAUUAUGGAAAUCAUGCAGUGAACUCAGAACACAUUUUUCUGGCUUUUACUUGGGAUACACAUUGUAGAUGAGAGAGUUUCUUUUUGGAAGAUUAUAUGUGUCUUUUGUAACGAGCUAAAGAUCCAAGCUACAGAUUUUUUCGUGGUACCAUUAAAUUAUGUCGGUUGUCCCUUUCAAUAUGGAAGAUAUUACAUCACUAGCUUCAAAUGUUUGUUGCUGCACGAAUGACUUUAUAUUCAAAAACUUUCAACCAUGAGUUUACAGAUGCUUGAAAAUAUUCAAGGCUAAGGGGGUUCUUCUAUAGAGACUCCAUGAUCUUACCUGGCAAUAAGCAGUUGGAUGCUGGUUCCUCUUAUAGAACAUCGUUGUGCUAACUCCUAUUGCAGCCAAGAAUACUCUAACUACAUGUACCUUUUUUUGUGUACUUUAUCCUUGUUGGACAUGGUUAUAUAUCCAUUGUUUAUCCGAUCUGUGUUCAUGUAUUCAAACUUCUGAUUCAUUGUUGCCAAAAUGGGGUUCUUCCCCACCGUUUAUAUGUUGUGUGAGCUUACCUGCUAUCAUGUACUCCAACCGCUGAUUCAUUUGUUGUAAGUUAGAGUUUUUCUUCUUAGAAACUCCUUAAUUAUUAUGCUCUGUUCUCUCUUUCUUACAUAUUGUUUUCUAAGGUCUGUCUGCUCUUCUAUAUUCACAACAGAUGGCUCUUUCUCUAAUAAUUUCUCUCAAUGUGAAGGCUUAUCUAACCAUAACUGACAAGGAAGUUAUGUGAAUUAGUGAGGAGCUGAGUUUUAGCUUUGCUGCUGAUGGUACUUACUCCACCAAUAAUGAGCACUUUUUAUGACUUGGAGCGAUUGUUACCGAUACUAAGAUUGGGGUCUUGCAGUUUGGUGCACAAAUUCAAAUUGACGGUGGUCAACGCGAUGACAGCUGAGUGGUUCUAAUGGGUUUCCAGUUUUCAGCUUAGGCAUUCAUUUAUGAUUGUUUUUGUUCUGCGGUGUCACAAAUGGCAGAAGGCUGCUUGACAGAUAUUCAGUGUACGGGAGAUGAUAUAUCUUUGCAGAUUGGGUCAUCUUUGGGCAAUUUACUACAUAAUUCCCACUGAGUACUUGCACGUUAAGUUGUUGUUAUGUUUGAUAGGAAUAAUGGACAUUCUUUGGCCUCCAAUAUUGGUACCGAGUCUAUUCCUGCUCAAA